AUACGGAGGAUGCGAGCGUUAUCCGGAUUUAUUGGGUUUAAAGGGAGCGUAGGUGGGAUAUUAAGUCAGCUGUGAAAGUUUGGGGCUCAACCUUAAAAUUGCAGUUGAUACUGGUUUCCUUGAGUACGGUAUAGGUGGGCGGAAUUCGUGGUGUAGCGGUGAAAUGCUUAGAUAUCACGAAGAACUCCGAUCGCGAAGGCAGCUCACCGGGCCGGAACUGACACUGAUGCUCGAAAGUGCGGGUAUCAAACAGGAUUAGAUACCCUGGUAGUCCGCACAGUAAACGAUGAAUACUCGCUGUUUGCGAUAUACAGUAAGCGGCCAAGCGAAAGCGUUAAGUAUUCCACCUGGGGAGUACGCCGGCAACGGUGAAACUCAAAGGAAUUGACGGGG
RNAcentral lists this ribosomal RNA (393 nucleotides) under uncultured bacterium. RNAcentral's name for it is "partial 16S ribosomal RNA". It matches the Rfam family "Bacterial small subunit ribosomal RNA", at positions 523 to 918 of the family's 1533-position model. The record is from RNAcentral.